UUACGGCCAUAUCACGUUGAAACAUCGGUUCCCGUACCAUCACCGAAGUUAAACAACGUUGAAGCCAGUUCCUAGAUGGGUGACCAGUUGGGAAUACCAGAUGCUGUAA
Acanthosepion pharaonis is the source of this 109-nucleotide non-coding RNA. Lineage: Eukaryota; Metazoa; Mollusca; Cephalopoda; Sepiida; Sepiidae. The record is from the annotation of a GenBank genome assembly.